Molecule: transfer RNA, 69 nt
Filed under: Sporichthya sp.
Lineage: Bacteria; Bacillati; Actinomycetota; Actinomycetes; Sporichthyales; Sporichthyaceae
Description: tRNA-Met
Rfam family: tRNA
About the family: Transfer RNA (tRNA) molecules are approximately 80 nucleotides in length. Their secondary structure includes four short double-helical elements and three loops (D, anti-codon, and T loops).
Source: RNAcentral
GGCAGACCGCUACGGACGACGGCUGGGCUCAUAACCCAGAGGUCGUAGGUUCAAAUCCUACCCCCGCUA